ACCAACUGCCCAAACCCCUUUUGCUACCAAUAAAUUGCUGAUUUAGGGUUUCACAUUUUAUGUAGUUUACAUUUCAAAUUCUGCAUCACUUCAUCACCUUCGACAUUUAACUUCAACAACACACAGAAAGGGGAAAAAUGUAUGCACCUCCACAGUACCAAGAAACAAGUUAUGUGGAACACGUUCGCAGACGCCACCAAGAAAAGGGAUGCCUUUACGCUUGUUUGUUCGCCUUCUGCUGCUGCUUCUGCUGCUAUGAGACCUGUGAGUGCUGUUUGGAUGUGUUAUGUUGCUGCUGCCCCUAGAUAAGAGUGACCAUAUACUCCCUUCUCUCUGUAUCUAUCUAUCUAAAAGUAAUAAUUACAGAAGAACAUGAGACUUUCUGAUAUGAGUGUGUUACUUUUGACUUAUGGUUGUGAUAAGUUUUUUUUUUGCAAAAUUACUUUAUGAUCAAGGAGGCAUAGACCUAACAAGUACCAUUUUUUGUGUUCUUUCCAUGUUGAAUAUUUUAAUUUAGCGCAAGUUACUCCAGUGAUAAUGUGUAAUGGUUAUAAAUGAAGAAUAAAGUAUGAAUAUUUUGGGACC
Molecule: RNA transcript, 585 nt
Organism: Vigna angularis (adzuki bean)
Lineage: Eukaryota; Viridiplantae; Streptophyta; Magnoliopsida; Fabales; Fabaceae
Exons: 2
Source: RefSeq, a predicted model, not a curated record